CCCCGAAAUAUUAUGAGCUGUUUAUCUAUUGUCAAGAACCCCCUUAUUUUUGUGGCAACAAAAUAAAAAAAUAUAUAGACAGAAGCUACAUACUAACCGCAUAAUAUUAUAGCUGGUUUCUUUUAAAAGUUAUAUAAGUAACAAAAAUAAAACUUAUUAUUUUAAUACAUAGAGGAAAAGCUCUAUGUACUCCCUCUGUUGAAAAACAAUUUAACCCUUAAGGUAGACUUAAAAAUAGCCACCUACAAAAAUGUUAUAAUCCCUAUAAAAAAAAAUAAUAUUUUAAAAAACGAUAAAUAAAAAGAAACUUCUACAAACACAAGUUAGUGAAAUAAAAUGUUAAAACUAGUAUUAAUAGAUAAAAAUCAUACACAUAAAUACUCUCCCAUAUACAAUAAAGGAACUCGGCAAACACUUAUUUCGACUGUUUAUCAAAAACAUAGCCUCAUGUAAAUAUAUGAGGUACUUCCUGCCCAGUGAUAUUUAACGGCCGCAGUACUCUGACUGUGCAAAGGUAGCAUAAUCAUUUGCCUUUUAAUUGAAGGCUAGAAUGAAUGGACUCACGAAAAUAAAACUGUCUCUACUAUACCCAUAAAAACUAGAACUCCAGUGAAAAUACUCGAAUAAAAAUAAAGGACAAAAAGACCCUAUAGAGCUGCAUCCGCCACGACCUAUAAAGUACCAUAUACUAUAUAAAUCUGCCGCGGAUUAUGUUGGGGCGACAAAGGAAUAUAAAAAUCUUCCUUAUAUAAAAAGAACAACAGUUCAAUAAAAAGAUCCUAAAAAGACCAAAGGAAAAAGCUACCUUAGGGAUAACAGGCUAAUCUCCUUAGAGAGUUCAUAUUGACAAGGAGGAUUGGCACCUCGAUGUUGGCUUAAGGUAUCCCUUAGGUGCAGAAGCCUAAAAAGGUUGGUUUGUUCAACCAUUAAAACCUUACAUGAGCUGAGUUCAGACCGGCGAAAGCCAGGUUAGUUUCUAUCCUUAUUUACAUAAACCUACUAAGUAGUACGAAAGGACCCU
RNAcentral lists this ribosomal RNA (1021 nucleotides) under Hemipodia simplex. Its description in RNAcentral is "16S ribosomal RNA". It matches the Rfam family "Bacterial large subunit ribosomal RNA", at positions 713 to 2695 of the family's 2925-position model. Lineage: Eukaryota; Metazoa; Annelida; Polychaeta; Phyllodocida; Glyceridae. The record is from RNAcentral.